This 194-nucleotide ribosomal RNA is filed under the name Epinephelus striatus (Nassau grouper). Its description in RNAcentral is "partial large subunit ribosomal RNA". The record is from RNAcentral. Lineage: Eukaryota; Metazoa; Chordata; Actinopteri; Perciformes; Serranidae.
AUGGGGACCUGUAUGAAUGGCAUAACGAGGGCUUGACUGUCUCCUCUUUCAAGUCAAUGAAAUUGAUCUCCCCGUGCAGAAGCGGGGAUAAGUACAUAAGACGAGAAGACCCUAUGGAGCUUCAGACACUAAAGCAGAUCAACAUUAAUAUCCUAGAUACAGGACACGAAUAAACUGAACCCUGCCCUACUGUC